GGCGUGUAGUGGCUGGGGUAAUACUGCACUCCUAGCCAGUUUCAGAUGAGGCUUAAACUCCCAUACUAGAAAGUAAAUGGCCUUCUGGGGUGACAAAUGGACAUUCGACCAGUUCAUCGACACCACGGUGGCGCUGGACCAUGCAAUGCGGGAUCGAGAACCCUGGCGCCGUGCCUCCCCGAGGAGCAGAACACAUGCAGUUGGGGAGUGGACAUCUGACCCCCGCGGAAAGACAACGGAGAGUACAAGACAACCUCUGCCUGUACUGGGGGAUCCUGACCACUGCCGGCUCCAGUGCCCGGUUCAUCCAGACACCCAGGUGAGUGAAAUCCUCCACUGUAAUCGUUUAACGGUUCCCACCUCUUUAUCCUGGGGAACGGGAGGGGUGACAGUGCAAGCUUUCGUUGACUCAGGCACCGCUGGGUGCUUUAUGGAUGUUAAGUUCACUCAUUUUCAUAAGAUCCCCAUAACCCGAUGUCCGAAACGCCUGAAAGUCAACGGUCUGGACGCUUCGGGAAACCACUGUGAAGGGGGGUGUCUGAAGUUGCCUUGCAGAGCUACCUCCAUCAAAGGGACAGAGCCCAUCCAACAGACACCGAUUCCUCCAGAAUAUCAGGAUCUGUCCCAGGUUUUCAGCCGCACCCAUGCAGGGGAGCUGCCUCAUCACCCUUGGGACUGUGCCCUCGACCUACCACCAGGUACAACUCCUCCGCGCAGGCUCUGCAGCAAUAUAUCUCCAAAGCGCUUGCUUCUGGUAUCAUCCGCCCCUCGACCUCUCCUGCGGCUGCCGGUUUCUGUUUCGUUGAGAAGAAGGAUGGAGGUUUGCGCCCAUGCAUAGACUAUAGGGGGUUGAAUCGCAUAGCAAUUAAGCAUCCCCAUCCCAUGCCUCUAAUCACAGCAGCACUGGAACAGGUACAAAUGGUUCACGAAAUUAGACCUCAGGAGUGCGUAUAAUCUCUUCUGCAUAAGGCCGGGAGAUAGAUACAUAUACUUUAUUGAUCCCACAAGGGAAAUUAUGUUACAGCAGCAGAACACAAGUCAG
This 1042-nucleotide long non-coding RNA is filed under the name Scleropages formosus (Asian bonytongue). RNAcentral describes it as "lncRNA (ENSSFOG00015025928.1)". Lineage: Eukaryota; Metazoa; Chordata; Actinopteri; Osteoglossiformes; Osteoglossidae. The record is from RNAcentral.